AGAGUUUGAUCCUGGCUCAGGACGAACGCUGGCGGCGUGCCUAACACAUGCAAGUCGAACGAAGCUUGAAUUCAGAUUUCUUCGGAAUGAAGAAUGAUAUGACUGAGUGGCGGACGGGUGAGUAACGCGUGAGCAACCUGCCCUUCGGAGGGGGAUAGUGUCUGGAAACGGACAGUAAUACCGCAUAACGUAUUUUUACCGCAUGAUAGAAAUACCAAAACUGAGGUGCCGAAGGAUGGGCUCGCGUUGGAUUAGAUAGUUGGUGGGGUAACGGCCUACCAAGUCAACGAUCCAUAGCCGGACUGAGAGGUUGAACGGCCACAUUGGGACUGAGACACGGCCCAGACUCCUACGGGAGGCAGCAGUGGGGAAUAUUGCACAAUGGGGGAAACCCUGAUGCAGCAACGCCGCGUGAAGGAAGACGGUUUUCGGAUUGUAAACUUCUGUUCUUAGUGAAGAAAAAUGACGGUAGCUAAGGAGCAAGCCACGGCUAACUACGUGCCAGCAGCCGCGGU
This 515-nucleotide ribosomal RNA is filed under the name uncultured bacterium. RNAcentral describes it as "bacterial SSU rRNA". It matches the Rfam family "Bacterial small subunit ribosomal RNA", at positions 8 to 521 of the family's 1533-position model. The record is from RNAcentral.